UUUAUGGAGAGUUUGAUCCUGGCUCAGGAUUAACGCUGGCGGCGUGCCUAACACAUGCAAGUCGAACGAGGUAGCAAUACCUAGUGGCAGACGGGUGAGUAACGCGUGGUCAACCUACCGUUGAGUGGGGGAUAACUAGCCGAAAGGUUAGCUAAUACCGCAUACGUCUCCGAGAGGCAUCUCUUGGCGAUAAAAGGAGCAAUCCGCUCGAUGACGGGACCGCGUCCCAUUAGCUAGAUGGUGGGGUAACGGCCUACCAUGGCUCCGAUGGGUAGCUGGUUUGAGAGAGCGACCAGCCACACUGGGACUGAGAAACGGCCCAGACUCCUACGGGAGGCAGCAGUGAGGAAUUUUCCGCAAUGGGCGAAAGCCUGACGGAGCGACGCCGCGUGUGGGAAGAAGGCCUUCGGG
Molecule: ribosomal RNA, 411 nt
Rfam family: Bacterial small subunit ribosomal RNA